AGGGCACCACCAGGAGUGGAGCCUGCGGCUCAAUUUGACUCAACACGGGAAAACUCACCCGGCCCGGACACCGUAAGGAUUGACAGAUUGAUAGCUCUUUCAUGAUUCGGUGGUUGGUGGUGCAUGGCCGUUCUUAGUUCGUGGAUCGAUUUGUCUGGUUUAUUCCGAUAACGAGCGAGACUCUAGCCUACUAAAUAGUAACGGGAUUACUUUUGUCCCGGUUGCUUCUUAGAGGGAUUUUCGGUGUUUAGCCGCACGAGAUUGAGCAAUAACAGGUCUGUGAUGCCCUUAGAUGUCCGGGGCUGCACGCGCGCUACACUGGCGAAAUCAGCGUGCUGUAUCCAUCCUCGAAAGGGAUUGGUAAACCCAUGAAAAUUUGCCGUGCUUGGGAUAGGGAAUUGCAAUUAUUUCCCUUAAACGAGGAAUUCCCAGUAAAUGCGGGUCAUAAGCUCGCGUUGAUUACGUCCCUGCCCUUUGUACACACCGCCCGUCGCUACUACCGAUUGGAUGACUUAGUGA
RNAcentral lists this ribosomal RNA (519 nucleotides) under uncultured eukaryote. RNAcentral's name for it is "SSU rRNA". It matches the Rfam family "Eukaryotic small subunit ribosomal RNA", at positions 1161 to 1704 of the family's 1831-position model. The record is from RNAcentral.